CCCUUAGAUGUUCUGGGCCGCACGCGCGCUACACUGACGAAUGCAACGAGCUUAUAACCUUGGCCGAAAGGUCUGGGUAAUCUCCAAAUUUCGUCGUGAUGGGGAUAGAUUAUUGCAAUUAUUAAUCUUCAACGAGGAAUGCCUAGUAAGCGCAAGUCAUCAGCUUGCGUUGAUUACGUCCCUGCCCUUUGUACACACCGCCCGUCGCUCCUACCGAUUGAAUGGUCCGGUGAAGCGCUCGGACCGCGGCCUCUUGACGGUUUUCCGUCGAUUGGCUGUGGGAAGUUCGUUAAACCUUAUCAUUUAGAGGAAGGAGAANUCGUAGCA
RNAcentral lists this ribosomal RNA (327 nucleotides) under uncultured eukaryote. RNAcentral's name for it is "partial 18S ribosomal RNA". It matches the Rfam family "Eukaryotic small subunit ribosomal RNA", at positions 1470 to 1796 of the family's 1831-position model. The record is from RNAcentral.